GUACUUGCAUCGGCAGGACAUAUACUAAAAUUUAAAAGAUACAGAGAAGAUUAGCAUGGCCUCUGCGCAAGGAUGACACGCAAAAUCGUGAAGCGUUCUACAUUUCU
Molecule: small nuclear RNA, 107 nt
Filed under: Harpegnathos saltator (Jerdon's jumping ant)
Lineage: Eukaryota; Metazoa; Arthropoda; Insecta; Hymenoptera; Formicidae
Source: RNAcentral